Molecule: ribosomal RNA, 301 nt
Filed under: uncultured bacterium
Lineage: Bacteria
Description: partial 16S ribosomal RNA
Rfam family: Bacterial small subunit ribosomal RNA
Source: RNAcentral
CAGUCGCCACGGUAAUACGUAGGGUGCAAGCGUUAAUCGGAAUUACUGGGCGUAAAGCGUGCGCAGGCGGUUAUGUAAGACAGUUGUGAAAUCCCCGGGCUCAACCUGGGAACUGCAUCUGUGACUGCAUAGCUAGAGUACGGUAGAGGGGGAUGGAAUUCCGCGUGUAGCAGUGAAAUGCGUAGAUAUGCGGAGGAACACCAACGGCGAAAGCACUCUGCUGGGCCGACACUGACACUGAGAGACGAAAGCUAGGGGAGCAAAUGGGAUUAGAUACCCCGGUAGUCCCUGUCUCUUAUAC